AAAGACUUAGUCCUAACCUUGCCGUUAAUUCUUGCUAGACAUAUACAUGCAAGUAUCUGCGCCCCAGUGUGAAUGCCCUUCGUUCCUUACUAAGUUGCAAGGAGCAGGUAUCAGGCACACCUAUAAUGGUAGCCCAAAACACCUUGCUUGGCCACACCCCCACGGGUACUCAGCAGUAAUUAACCUUAAGCAAUAAGUGUAAGCUUGACUUAGCCAUAGCAACUCAGGGUCGGUAAAUCUUGUGCCAGCCACCGCGGUCACACAAGAGACCCAAAUUAACUGCAAACACGGUGUAAAGAGUGGUACCAUGCUAUCUCAGCAACUAUGAUCGAAAUGCAACUGAGCUGUCAUAAGCUUAAGCUGCACUUAAGCCCCCCGUCAAAAUGAUCCUAGUGUUCAUGACCAAUUAAACACCACGAAAGCUAAGGUACAAACUGGGAUUAGAUACCCCACUAUGCUUAGCCCUAAAUCUUGGUACUUACCCCACCAAAGUACCCACCUGAGAACUACGAGCACAAACGCUUAAAACUCUAAGGACUUGGCGGUGUCCCAAACCCGCCUAGAGGAGCCUGUUCUAUAAUCGAUGAUCCACGAUACACCUAACCUCCCCUCGCCAGGGUCAGCCUACAUACCGCCGUCGCCAGCUCACCUUCCCUGACAGCAUAAUAGUGAGCAUAAUAGCCCUAAUCCCGCUAACAAGACAGGUCAAGGUAUAGCCCAUGAGGAGGAAAGAAAUGGGCUACACUUUCUAACAUAGAAAACUAACGGAAGGGGAUUAUGAAAUUAUCCCUAGAAGGUGGAUUUAGCAGUAAAGCAGGACAAUAGUGCCUUCUUUAAACCGGCUCUGGGACACGUACAUACCGCCCGUCACCCUCCUCAUAAGCUACCACUUCAAAUAACUAAUACACUCACUAGCCAAAGACGAGGUAAGUCGUAACAAGGUAAGUGUACCGGAAGGUGCACUUAGUAUA
Molecule: non-coding RNA, 971 nt
Filed under: Nyctibius maculosus
Lineage: Eukaryota; Metazoa; Chordata; Aves; Nyctibiiformes; Nyctibiidae
Description: partial 12S ribosomal RNA
Rfam family: Bacterial small subunit ribosomal RNA
Source: RNAcentral